UAGUCCACGCAGUAAACGAUGAUUACUAGGAGUUUGCGAUACAAUGUAAGCUCUACAGCGAAAGCGUUAAGUAAUCCACCUGGGGAGUACGCCGGCAACGGUGAAACUCAAAGGAAUUGACGGGGGCCCGCACAAGCGGAGGAACAUGUGGUUUAAUUCGAUGAUACGCGAGGAACCUUACCCGGGUUUGAACGUAGUCUGACCGGAGUGGAAACACUCUUUCUAGCAAUAGCAGAUUACG
Molecule: ribosomal RNA, 241 nt
Filed under: uncultured bacterium
Lineage: Bacteria
Description: partial 16S ribosomal RNA
Rfam family: Bacterial small subunit ribosomal RNA
Source: RNAcentral